AAGGAAAUACACGAGCACUACAUCAUCUGGAGCUAAUGAUGCUGCCGAGCCCUGGACGCGGCAGCCACGAGUAAUGACCGCAGCAGCCCCGCCCACCGCCAUCACUGCUCCCUGGGCGGCCCCGCACGUUAGACAAACCCGAGAACUGUAAUUCCCUGUGCUCGUUAGGCCGCCUCGCACACGUCACGGGCUCGGCUGAGGGGUAUAUAUACCUGGGACGGCCACAGAAGACAGUAGUAUCCUCGACACAAGGCUAAAAACAGCAAUGGCGAGAAGGCAAACUUUGAGGAGUCUUCUCAUACUCCUCAUACUUACCAGUGACGUGCUCGCCCACGUCAUCAAGAUGACGGAGUCCUUCCGAGUUCCAGCUGGCCCUGGACACUCGAUGGACUCUGACCUGCAGGACCUUCCCUCCGCUAAGGACACGGUGGAAUCCAGCUUGGCAUCUCGCGAGGUGCUGGCGAGGUUCCUCCGUGUCGCGGACAGCAACGGACUGCACUCUGGCCCUGGUCUCGAGACGAUUCGAGACCGAGCCAGGCAGGCGAAAAUUGCGGCGGGCGUUUUAAGUGGGAUAAUCCACCGACGGAGGGCCCUGGGUGACACGGAUAACGAAGGUCUUACGCCUAACUGGUUCUCUCGCCUGGCCGAGAGAAAUGUUAUUUUUAUCACCAGGGUCUUCAGAUCUCGGCGGUGGGGGAGGUACAGGUACACGAUGAGUGUGUCCUCCCUCAUACUCUUGGUGUCCACGAUCACGCAAGUGUACCUGGACAGGCAAGGUAUGGGGGAUAUCGGCGACACCUCGACUUACCUGGAUUUCUACUGGCUCCUGUACGACGUACUUAAUGAGGUCAAAGAGUUUGCGGACUCGAAUUGCUAUUACCCCACCUAUUGGCCCGCCGCGUUGCUCGCCCCCGACCACUGCAAUCCCUACCGCCUGGUGGAGGAGACCCGCCGUGCCUUGGAAAACAGAGGUGGUGAAAUUCAGACAGAAUUUAGGUCAUUUACUAAAUCUGGGGAUUUGGUGUUGAGGAUAAAAAAUAUCGUGCUUGAGAGACCCUAAGAAAUGACCUCUUUGUUAGUGUCUUCCUAACAUUAUUUUUUAUCUGCGGCAACUAAGUCUCCUGGAAAGUGACGCCUGAAUUGUGUUUAAACUUCCUGCCUCAGGAUUUCCAAGGCUUGCGUGCGGUGUUGCCUCCACCAGGCGGAUGGGAUGAUGGGAUCCAAACCCGUUGCUGACUCCACAGAGUGGAAGGAACUGCCUGCACCUCCUUUGUUUCUGCGGUAACGUGCGGGGAGGAAAUUUAAGCCAUUGCUGCCAUCCGGGGUUGUGAGGACUGACCUGAAGGACCUUCCCUCCAUGAUGGUCACGGUGGAAUCCAUCCUGAUAACACAGAUGCUCCUCUCCAUGCUGACUUGGGCAACGAAAGCCACUGCCUCGCCACGGGAGUGAGAGGAACUGACCUGAACAUCGCCUUCCUGCUUGCUGUAGGGAAAGCCUCUGCUGCUGGCCCUGCUGGAGAAAGUCUACCGUCUACGUCAUUGUGCACCAGUACCCAAGACGGCCAGGCAGCUGGGAACACAAGCCACCACAGGAAGUCUGCACCCACGCGGUCAUUCUCCAAAAUGGCGCAUCGAGUCGGUUGUUCCCUGAAUCCCCUGCAAAGCCUUCUCUCUGUGAUGGCCACGGUGGAAUCUAACAUAAUGGCACAGCCGCUGGCGAGUGUUGGAGUCUGACUACUCUCUGGCCCUGAGCUCGAGACUUCAGAUGAAGCCAGACAACCGAAUAUCUCUCCUGCUC
Long non-coding RNA from Eriocheir sinensis (Chinese mitten crab), 1798 nucleotides. RefSeq lists it as uncharacterized. The record is from RefSeq and is a predicted model, not a curated record. Lineage: Eukaryota; Metazoa; Arthropoda; Malacostraca; Decapoda; Varunidae. The transcript is spliced from 5 exons.